Molecule: non-coding RNA, 1341 nt
Organism: Bactrocera oleae (olive fruit fly)
Lineage: Eukaryota; Metazoa; Arthropoda; Insecta; Diptera; Tephritidae
Source: RefSeq, a predicted model, not a curated record
UAUUUUAGUAUUGCUUUAGAAAAAAAAUUUAAAGACUUUCUUAUUUAGUCAUUUGAGUUUAAUUGUGUAUAUUAAACUGUUGGAUUAUAAAAUGUGAAAUGUUCUAAGCUUUUAUCUAUGAGAAAUAAGAGAUCGUAAUAGGUAAUCGUAAUAGACGGAUUUCAACAACGAUUACAAUUAUAAUAGCACUAAAUAAUGCAUAUAUUGCAAAGUUCAAUAUAUGGCAAUUAUAACAGAUGACACUAAUCUGUUGAACGGCCGAACAAAAAUAUAUUCUUGUAGGCGACAAAAAAUCGUCAUUGACCUUUUGGCGAUAUUAUCUUUACAAAGGUUUGGUUUGGAGGUUGAAUGAAUGUUUGGGAUCUUAAGUAGGAUUUAUCAGACCCUAGGAUGUAUAUAAAGAUUGUCGUGCAAUUCACAGGAGUGACAAAAGCUUAGGAUGCUUUGAUGUUUACGACCACAACUUAAACAUUAUGUCUGGUUAAAAUAAGUAAGAUAAUGUCGAGAGGGAUGUAGACUGUGCAGAAUUUCGAACCGCCUGAGUUUUGCCGACACCAUUCUUCUAAGGUCCAUUAACAUGCUAGAUCAUUUUAGUCUUCGCACAUUUUUGUAAUUAUACUUAUCAAUAUAAUUGUUUUUAAUUAGUUUAAUGAAAAUUUAUUUUGGUUUUUAAUUCUUGUAUAUCCCUUUGAAAUACAGAGUUAAGUACAAUAUUUUUUAUAUUACUUAGUUAAUGGUAGGGAGUGAAAUAUAAUAUAUAAAUGGUAACAUUUACGAAGGAUUCAUAGUGGUAUAAAAUAUUAUGUUUAAAGCUUGUUUUAUACAUUAUUUUAUGGAAAAAAUCGUUUAUGAUACUUAUAUUUUUAUCAAGCUUGUAUUGAGGAUUGAAAAACGUAUCAGAUUAUGGUACAUGGACAUCAAUUAUUGCUGGUCUGCUGACACUGGACACUUUAUACAAUUUAAAAAAAUGAUAUUACAAAGAGAUCAACAAAUCUGACAAUCGAAAACAAGACUGAAAUAAAACGACUGCUAAAUGGAAGAACUGAUCGGCUAGUUCUACGAUACAUACUCAUAUAUACAUAAUAUGGAUAUGUAUGUGUACACAUGCUUCCAAAUAAAGCAACAAAUAUAUAGAACAGCCGAUCGUUUUUCAAUAAUGAAGACGUAUGGCGGCCGAAGCCGAAUAUAUGAAGAUUGCAAAAGAGAAAACAACAUUGAGUUAAAUGAAUGGUAGACAAGUGUAAAAAGUGGACAUCGAAAUGAUUACGGAAAAAUUUGCAAGCUUAUUUUUUAUGAUAAAUGAAAUAUUAUACGCACCAGCAAUUGAAAUAAUCGGUUAAA